RNAcentral lists this ribosomal RNA (268 nucleotides) under uncultured bacterium. RNAcentral describes it as "partial 16S ribosomal RNA". It matches the Rfam family "Bacterial small subunit ribosomal RNA", at positions 524 to 790 of the family's 1533-position model. The record is from RNAcentral.
UACGGAGGGGGCUAGCGUUGUUCGGAAUUACUGGGCGUAAAGCGCGCGUAGGCGGACCUGCAAGUCGGGGGUGAAAGCCCGAGGCUCAACCUCGGAACUGCCUUCGAUACUGCGGGUCUCGAGUCCGGGAGAGGUGAGUGGAAUUCCUAGUGUAGAGGUGAAAUUCGUAGAUAUUAGGAAGAACACCAGUGGCGAAGGCGGCUCACUGGCCCGGUACUGACGCUGAGGGCGCGAAAACGUGGGGAGCAAACAGGAUUAGAUACCCGGG